CACGCUGUAAACGAUGAAUACUAGGUGUAGGGGGUAUCGACCCCCUCUGCGCCGCAGUCAACACAUUAAGUAUUCCACCUGGGGAGUACGGCCGCAAGGCUGAAACUCAAAGGAAUUGAC
RNAcentral lists this ribosomal RNA (120 nucleotides) under uncultured bacterium. RNAcentral describes it as "partial 16S ribosomal RNA". It matches the Rfam family "Bacterial small subunit ribosomal RNA", at positions 796 to 914 of the family's 1533-position model. The record is from RNAcentral.